GGUCAUGAGUGUCAGCGCACAGCCCCGGCUUGCUGACCGGCAACCCUCCAACCGCGGUGGGGUGCUCCGGGUGACGACCAGGCCGCGUCCGAGGUGGACGUGUGCAAGCGCGGACU
RNAcentral lists this non-coding RNA (116 nucleotides) under Williamsia sp. Leaf354. RNAcentral's name for it is "SAM (S-adenosyl methionine) riboswitch aptamer". It matches the Rfam family "SAM (S-adenosyl methionine) riboswitch aptamer". From Rfam's summary of the family: SAM-IV is a mRNA element that regulates gene expression via direct sensing of S-adenosylmethionine (SAM or AdoMet). SAM-IV riboswitches share conserved nucleotide positions with the previously described SAM-I riboswitches sequence analysis and molecular recognition experiments suggest that SAM-I and SAM-IV riboswitches share similar ligand binding sites, but have different scaffolds. The record is from Rfam by way of RNAcentral. RNAcentral also lists the same sequence under 1 other name. Lineage: Bacteria; Bacillati; Actinomycetota; Actinomycetes; Mycobacteriales; Nocardiaceae.